Molecule: long non-coding RNA, 2943 nt
Organism: Hypanus sabinus (Atlantic stingray)
Lineage: Eukaryota; Metazoa; Chordata; Chondrichthyes; Myliobatiformes; Dasyatidae
Exons: 3
Source: RefSeq, a predicted model, not a curated record
CAGAAAAUAAUAGUACUUACUUCACCACAGUGGAAAUCAGUCACUGGCGGAGAUGAAGACUUCUAUCUCAGCCCCAAACAAAUGAAGAUCUUACAGAUGCGACAGGCUUCCUGAAAUGGAGAUAGAAUUUGUCAAGAGUGCUCAACUCAACAUCAGAAUCAGGCUUAACAUCACUGGCAUAUGUUGUGAAGUUCCUUAAUCUUGCAGUAACUGUACGAUGCAAUACACAGGUUCUCUUGAAGACCCUGACCUGGCAUUAUACGCUGACUUUGGUUCUUUGCGGGAAUGGGACCCGCUCUCGGGAUCUCAUGAAUGGCCAAUGGUCAUUAUUCGAGAUACCAACGACGCGGCCUAGAAGAUUAGUUCGCCUUCGGAAUUCCACAAUUCUGUGGCUCUGGAGGUGGGUGGAUUCGAGGUUGGUGCCUCUGCAGGGAAUAGGUGUGUCAUGGGAGAUGGAGCUGGCUGCUGGCUGUGUGCCCAGAGACCUGAGUUCUUUGGGCACAGGGCUUGGAAAGAGAGACGCAAUGGACUUUUAAUAUUGUAAAUCAGUGAGUUGUUUGUUAUGUCUUUGAAACGGAGAAACCUCUUUUUCCCUUAUUAUGGAGAGAGAGAGCCUGUGGUAUGUCGAAUUACGAAGUGAAUGAGUAGUCUUUGGGGUACUGCAAGUCUGUAUCUUUAUUGAUGCUUUGCUACAUGCUUGAGUGCUUGGUGGGGGGCACUAAUGUUUUAUGUGCUGGUGGGGGAGGAGGGAUCAUUGCUUGUUGCCGCUUAUGUGUGGGGGGGGGGGAAGCUGGGGAGGUGCUUUGAGUUUCUAACAUUUAACUGUCAUUCAUUCUUUAGGGCACUCCUCGGCUUUUGUGGAUGGUUGCGAAGAAAAAGCAUUUCAGGAUUUUUAUUGUAUACAUUUCUCUGACAUUAAAUGUACCUUUGAAACCUUUUAAACUUUGAAACUUUAAUAGUUCUAUAACAUUUUCCAGAGGGAGUUUUUGGAAACAGCAGUUUGCUGGGUGGGUUGUGUCCACAAUGAUUUUUCUUGACCAUUCUUUGUCCUGGAUACAUCCAAGACCUGCAGUGAUGGUGGACUGUGGCCAAUCGCUUUUCCUGUUGACCUGACAGUUCACAGUAGUUUUUAUAUAUGGUGAGAGAAUGUUGCACCAAACCAGACAAUAAUAGCUGAUGUAAGUAUGCUUUCUAUGAUGACAGUGCUGAGUUGUACUAGUAUGCUUGGGGGAAGUUGGAGUUUUACCAACUGCAUUCAGCUUCUUGUUAUGAUAUUGAUGUAGUCAUAAAGAAGGCAAGACAACAGCUAUACUUCAUUAAGAGUUUGAAACGAUUUGGCACGUCAACAAAAACACUCAAAAAUUUCUAUAGUUGUACCGUGGAGAGCAUUCUGACAGGCUGCAUCGCUGUCUGGUAUGGGGGAGGGAGGAGGGGGGCUACUGCACAGAACAGGAAGAAGCUGCAGACGGUUGUAAAUCUAAUCAGCUUCAUCUUGGGCACUAGCCUACAAAGUACCCAGGACAUCCUUAGGGAGUGGUGUCUCAGAAAGGCAGUGUCCAUUACUAAAGACCUCCAGGGCAUGCACUUUUCUCACUGUUACCAUCAGGCAGGAGAUACAGAAACCUUAAGGAACACACUCAGUGAUUCAGGAAUGUCUCUUUCCCCUCUGAUGUCUGAUUCCUAAAUGGACUUUGAAGCUUUGGGCACUAUCUCACUUUUUAAAAAUAUACAGUAUUUCUGUUUUUGCACAUUUUUAAUAAUCUAUUCAAUAUGCAUAAUUGAUUUACUUGAUUAUUUAUUAUUAUGUUUCAUUCUAUUUAUUACUUUUUUCUCUUUCUCUGCUAGAUUAUGUAUUGCAGCAGUGCUAAGUUAACAAAUUUCAUGUCAAAUGCCAGUGAUAAUAAACCUGAUUCUGAUUGCACGAGGUGACUAGCUUGUUUAUUUCCCAAUGGUACAUGGAUCCAUCUUCUCUGGCGAUUCAAUAACUCCAUUUAGGACUUUCAUUCUCUUCUCAAUCAGAUCUCUCCUCAGCCUCCAACACUCUAGAGAAAACAACCCAAGUUUCCUGCUCUUGAACUCAAUGCCUCAAUUAACUUGGUAUCUAUGGAGGAAGAAACAUAGUCCAUGUUUCAGUGGAAGACCUUGCAUUAGCCUCCAUGGCCUCAGCAACAAGGUCACUCCACAGCAAAUCCAUCCACGACUCCAAUCAGUCAGGAACUACCGUUGGAUACUAUUCCACUUGUGGUCACCAAGGACAUGGGAACUUUCUCAUGGGGCAAGUUCUCCUGCCAAGAAAUAUCCUUGAACUAAGCUCAUACUUUAGUUACUCUCUUUAAUUUAAAUAUUGAUUUAUGCUCAGGACCAUACACUAACCCCGAUCAAUCUAAACAUUCAAUAGCUAAAAUUACACCAUCAAAGAAUGUGAAAUUGAAGGAGAAAGCUCACAGAUUCCAAAAUAUUUAACUGAGCAGAAACCUUGAAAGCAGAUGAGCAAAUACUGUACACAUGUAUGAAAAAGCAAGAAUUGCAUGAAUUCACAAAUGAUGUUGAAACUGUUAGGGGUAAAGUUAAAAGAGACCACAAUUCUUAACUGAUUCCAUACCAAAGAUGUACAACCAGCCAAAGCAGCAAAUAUGUGCAAAAAAUGCAUGUCCAGAAAGACAAAAAUAUUUUUUUAAACAGUAGUCUUGUCAGACUACACAAGAUCAUUAUUACUAGUCCUGUUUACCAGAAAAUAUGAGACACUCCAAAACAAUGGAGAUAGUGUGAACAAGAGUCACAGUGUAAAGAAAAUUUAGUGAGACUGCAGAAAGUUGGGAGGAGAACACUGCAUUUUGUUUCUCUGGUGUUAAAAGGAAGCAAAAGUGCCACCUGCUUAUUGUACAAAUAGAAAUGAAUAUGUAAAAUUGAGAGGAAUUGACAAACAAUUCUUUUGCAAUUUCC